RNAcentral lists this ribosomal RNA (277 nucleotides) under uncultured bacterium. RNAcentral's name for it is "partial 16S ribosomal RNA". It matches the Rfam family "Bacterial small subunit ribosomal RNA", at positions 29 to 313 of the family's 1533-position model. The record is from RNAcentral.
AAUCAACGCUGGCGGCGCGCUUAACACAUGCAAGUCGAGCGGGAAAGGAGGAGCAAUCCUCUGAGUAGAGCGGCGCACGGGUGAGUAACACGUGGAUGAUCUGCCUUGAAGUGGGGAAUAACUCUGGGAAACCGGAGCUAAGACCGCAUACGCCUGGGAAGGGAAAGCCUCGCAAGGGGCGCUUUGAGAGGAGUCCGCGGCCGAUUAGCUAGUUGGUGAGGUAAUGGCUCACCAAGGCGGGGAUCGGUAGCCGGCCUGAGAGGGCACACGGCCACAC